CAAUAGGCUCUGAUGAGAGCCAUAUAAAAGUUAAUGAAGAAAAUAAU
This is a non-coding RNA of Cavia porcellus (domestic guinea pig), 47 nucleotides long. NCBI's taxonomy places the organism in Eukaryota, Metazoa, Chordata, Mammalia, Rodentia, Caviidae. The record is from Rfam.